This is a non-coding RNA of Otolemur garnettii (small-eared galago), 57 nucleotides long. The record is from Rfam. NCBI's taxonomy places the organism in Eukaryota, Metazoa, Chordata, Mammalia, Primates, Galagidae.
CUGCUAGGCUAAGUGGAAGGUGUUUUAUUAUGAUCUUCAUUUUAUCAUUAUUAGAUC